Choloepus didactylus (southern two-toed sloth) is the source of this 3654-nucleotide RNA transcript. It is a transcript of the gene named S-formylglutathione hydrolase, with no coding region annotated. The transcript is spliced from 11 exons. NCBI's taxonomy places the organism in Eukaryota, Metazoa, Chordata, Mammalia, Pilosa, Megalonychidae. The record is from RefSeq and is a predicted model, not a curated record.
GGCGGGCCCAGCGGGCGGGGCCCACAGACGCGGCCCCGGCGGCCAUAUUGCGGUCGCGCCUUUCCCUUUCGGCAGCUUCUUCCUUCCCGCCGCCCCCGGAGGAUUCUCUACCCUAUGGUGCAGACGAAAAAGCAAGUAGCAACUGGACAGGAGAGAAAUGGCUUUGAAACAGAUUUCCAGCAACAAGUGCUUUGGAGGAUUACAAAAAGUGUUUGAACAUGACAGUGUUGAGCUGAACUGCAAAAUGAAAUUUGCUGUGUACCUACCACCAAAGGCAGAAACUGGAAAAUGCCCCGCACUCUACUGGCUGUCUGGCUUAACUUGCACAGAACAGAAUUUUAUAUCAAAAUCCGGUUACCAUCAGGCUGCCUCAGAACAUGGUCUUGUCGUCGUUGCUCCAGAUACCAGUCCUCGUGGUUGCAAUAUUGAAGGAGAAGAUGAGAGCUGGGACUUUGGCACUGGUGCUGGAUUUUAUGUGGAUGCCACUGAAGAUCCUUGGAAAACUAACUACAGAAUGUACUCUUAUGUAACGGAGGAGCUUCCCCAACUCAUCAACGCCAAUUUCCCAGUGGACCCCCAAAGGAUGUCUGUUUUUGGCCAUUCCAUGGGAGGCCACGGAGCUCUGAUUUGUGCUUUGAAGAACCCAGGAAAAUACAAAUCCGUGUCGGCAUUUGCUCCAAUUUGCAACCCGGUGCUCUGUCCUUGGGGCAAAAAAGCCUUUAGUGGAUAUUUGGGAUCAGAUCAAAGUAAAUGGAAGGCUUAUGAUGCUACCCAUCUUGUGAAGUCAUAUCCAGGGUCUCAGCUGGAUAUACUAAUUGAUCAAGGAAAAGAUGACCAGUUCCUUUCAGAUGGGCAGUUACUUCCUGAUAACUUCAUAGCUGCUUGUACAGAAAAGAAAAUUCCUGUUGUUUUUAGAUCGCAAGAGUAGCUCCAAUUGAAAACACCAGGUAGCAGAAUUCUGAGAGCUGGGAUAGGAAGAUCAAGUUUGAGUCUGAAAAGGAAGGACCCAGUAUGUCUUACUUUUAGGUUUUGAAGGUACAUAGUGAGGAAGACAUUUCAGUGACCCAAGAGAACUUCCAGAAACUAUAUCCCCUUCUUGGAAAUUAUAGGAAGCAAGGCUCUCCCACCUUCUCAAGUCACAGGCAUUUUUUGAAGAAUUAGAGGCUCUUUUGGAAGAAAAUCCCAGAAAUGCAGGGAUGCCUCACAGUGAUCUGGCACAGAGACUCUCAGGAUACGAUCACAGCUAUUACUUCAUUGCAACCUUUAUUACUGAUCACAUCAGACAUCAUGCAAAAUACCUGAAUGUGUGAAAAACUUCAGAUAGUAGAAUCUCUUCAAAAUCAAAAUUCUGUAAUAAACAGAAUUGCAGGGAAAAAUGCAUAAUUCUAUUUUAUGGUUGAAUUGCUUUCCAAAGAAGUAAUUGCUUUCCUACUUCUGAUUUUUAGAAUUAUUUUACCAGGGUUCAUACAGGAAAUCUUUAAUGCUUUACAACUUUGUUGAGACCAUUUGAAAAACCUUGUUAUAUGGACCUCAGGUCAAGGAAUUGGAACGUAAUUCCAUUCAAAUCACAGACUGGUAUUGCUGGGACAGAAGACUUACUGGUGGUUCAGCCCAAACUCCUCACCUUUCUAGACUUCAAGCCUCUGAAGACAGGGACUGUUUUUGUCAUGUUCAUUGUUAUAGCUCUUAGUGUCUAGCAAAGUGCUUGGCUUCUUGUAGGUGUUUAAUAACUUUAUUAGUUGUUGAAUAAAGAAGUAGGCUCAGAAAGGUGGUUAAAAGGUAAGAAUUCCCCAUCAUUACCCAGCUGUUGUGUGGAACUGCUGAGAUUAGAAGCCAAAUUUCCUAAACCAGUGUCUUGAUUUUUCUUAACAAUGGAGGGUGUAACAUUGGUUUUUGGGUAGGCUGGGCCUCCCAAGAAUUAAGGCAUGAGAUUCAAUCUGAAAAUAACUAGAUACGGAAACUUGUAAAUUUCAUGUUACCAUAAACUCAAAUAUUUUCCCUUGGUCACACACAUGAAUUUAGCUUGGUGAGCUCACCAAAAAAACCAACCAACAAACAAAAACAAUACCUUUGGUUAAAUAUUGAGAACUUAAUGGAGAAAUUUUUAGAACAUGAUAGGGGAGGCCUGGUUGUUUUAAAAGUAUUUUUUUCUGAUAAAGAGCACAAAGGUACAUUUUAAACAUUCAGUGAAAAUGCGUAUUUAAUAUAAAUAUAGUUGGUACUCAAAAUAGGAUCAUUAAUAUUAAAGAUUAGUACUAUAAAAAUGAAUGAUCAAGAUUCAGCUCUAUAGUAAGCUGCGGAGACAACCUUCCAUACAAAAUGGUUCAGUCUAAAUAGUCUUCUAUCCUCUAGUAAGGAAGAUCUUUUAAUUCAUGAGUUUUUUGCAUGUUAAUUCCUUUGUAAAGAAAAGCAAUUGUGUUGUCCUAAGAUCAUUUUAUGUUAAGGUUCAGCCGGAGAAGCAGAACUAGUCAGAGAUAUAUAUUAAGAUUUAUUACUGCGAACUGGCUUAUGCAAUUUGCAGGUGGGGGGAGUUGGCUAAGCAAGUCCAAAUCCCACAGGGCAGGGGUUGGAAAGGGAAAAUCACAGGCAGGCUGGAAAGCCAGGGCACAGGCCAAAGCUAAUGUCCACACGUGGACAGGAAGAGAGCAGUGCGUAAGCAGGAUGGAGGUCCAUGGGCAUGGGCCAAAGCUGUUGUCCACAGGUGAAAUUCCUCCGCUGAUUAAGUGAGACCCACCCAUAUUACCCAGGAUAAUCUCUCUUACUUAGUCAUUUGAUUAAGGACUUGAGUUACAUCUGCAAAAUCCCUUUAUAGUGACACAUAUGAGUGGUUCGUUAAAUAAUGGGGGACUGCAUCACAAUCAUUAUCUGAAAAUUGUUGCUUUGCCUUUCUGCAAAAAGUAUUAAAUAUUCAGUAAGUAGUUGCUGACAUAAGCCAGCGAUGAAUGUAAUAAAGACAAAGGCCUUCACUAACAGUACAGAAUUAAUCAUUGAAGAUAACUAGGAAGCUUAUGAUUUUGAGCUUUUUUUCUGUAUGUUGCAAAGAUUAUCUGGGGAGGGAUUGAUUCUUAUAUAUGCCUAAAUGUAAGAUGAAUUCCAUUCCCUCUGCAAAAAAAUUAUUCCUCAACGUCUCACAUAAGGAACCAUCUAAAUGACUAUAUUGAACAACAAAUAAUGGCUUCCAAGUCUAGUUUUGGAUGCUUCUAGGAGUUGCCUGAUGGGAUCAAUUAUGAAAAUAUCUUCUCUGAUUCAAAGGAAUGAAGGUAAAAAUCAGUAAGAGAGAACUGGAAAGCAUACACAUACAUGGAAAUCAAACAACACAUUCAACCAAUGGAUCAAAGAACAACUUAGGAAAUAUUCUGAUGCAAGUGAAAGCAAAACUACAACAUACCAAAACUUAUGGGAUGUAGCAAAGGCAGUGCUGAGAGGGAAGUUUAUAACUCUAAAUGCUUAUAUUAAAAAAAGAAAGUGCUCUUGCUCUUGUGAUUUUUUUUGUUCCAUAAUCUCCUUUGUGAUGUCUUUAUCUGAAUCAUCACUGCCAGAGGUUUUGUCUUCACAACCAGGUUACAAUUCUAUAGAUCAUCUCAAGUUUUCUCCCAUUAAUUUAUUAAAGGUAGGACUGUACUAAUAAAUACAUUUAAGGUGCUAAAUUUUAAA